This 951-nucleotide ribosomal RNA is filed under the name uncultured bacterium. RNAcentral describes it as "bacterial SSU rRNA". It matches the Rfam family "Bacterial small subunit ribosomal RNA", at positions 8 to 947 of the family's 1533-position model. The record is from RNAcentral.
AGAGUUUGAUCAUGGCUCAGAUUGAACGCUGGCGGCAUGCCUAACACAUGCAAGUCGAACGGCAGCACAGUGGUAGCAAUACCACGGGUGGCGAGUGGCGGACGGGUGAGUAAUGCAUCGGGACCUACCUGAACGUGGGGGAUAACGUAGGGAAACUUACGCUAAUACCGCAUACGUCCUACGGGAGAAAGCGGGGGACCUUCGGGCCUCGCGCGGUCAGACGGACCGAUGUUCGAUUAGCUAGUUGGUAAGGUAAUGGCUUACCAAGGCGACGAUCGAUAGCUGGUCUGAGAGGAUGAUCAGCCACACUGGAACUGAGACACGGUCCAGACUCCUACGGGAGGCAGCAGUGGGGAAUAUUGGACAAUGGGCGCAAGCCUGAUCCAGCAAUGCCGCGUGUGUGAAGAAGGCCUUCGGGUUGUAAAGCACUUUUAUCGGGAGCGAAAUACCAUCGGUUAAUAACCGGUGGGGCUGACGGUACCCGAGGAAUAAGCACCGGCUAACUUCGUGCCAGCAGCCGCGGUAAUACGAAGGGUGCAAGCGUUAAUCGGAAUUACUGGGCGUAAAGGGUGCGUAGGCGGUGAGUUAAGUCUGUCGUGAAAUCCCCGGGCUCAACCUGGGAAUGGCGAUGGAUACUGGCUCGCUAGAGUGUGUCAGAGGAUGGUGGAAUUUCCGGUGUAGCGGUGAAAUGCGUAGAGAUCGGAAGGAACAUCAGUGGCGAAAGCGGCCAUCUGGGACAACAUUGACGCUGAAGCACGAAAGCGUGGGGAGCAACAGGAUUAGAUACCCUGGUAGUCCACGCCCUGAACGAUGCGAACUGGAUGUUGGUCUCAACUCGGAGAUCAGUGUCGAAGCUUAACGCGUUAAGUUCGCCGCCUGGGGAGUACGGUCGCAAGACUGAAACUCAAAGGAAUUGACGGGGGCCGGCACAAGCGGUGGAAUAUGUGGGUU